AAUCAAGCGCGAGAAGGGCGUUUGGUGAAUGCCUUGGCAGUAAGAGGCGAUGAAGGACGUGAUACUCUGCGAUAAGUCAUGGGGAGCUGAGAAUAAGCUUUGAUCCAUGAAUUUCCGAAUGGGGCAACCCACCUGACAGUUCGAUAUAAUAGCCUUUUGGCUGCUUAUAUCUUGCUGAAACAGGUACUUAUAGACUGAAUACAUAGGUUUAUAAGAGCGAACCCGGGGAACUGAAACAUCUAAGUACCCGGAGGAAAGGACAUCAAUUGAGACUCCCCUAGUAGCGGCGAGCGAACGGGGACCAGCCGAGCCUUGAAUGUGAAUAGAAUGGUCUGGAAUGGCCAACCACAGUGGGUGACAGUCCCGUAUAUGAAGCACGAUAGGACGUAUUAAGUAGGGCGGGACACGUGAAAUCCUGUCUGAAGAUCGGGGGACCACCCUCGAAGGCUAAGUACUCCUUACUGACCGAUAGUGAACCAGUACCGUGAGGGAAAGGUGAAAAGCACCCCGACGAGGGGAGUGAAACAGUACCUGAAACCGAACGCCUACAAUCAGUCGGAGGCUCCUUGCGAGCUGACGGCGUACCUU
The sequence is a ribosomal RNA, 588 nucleotides long. It matches the Rfam family "Bacterial large subunit ribosomal RNA", at positions 1 to 607 of the family's 2925-position model. The record is from Rfam.